GGCUCAGUGGUCUAGUGGUAUGAUUCUCGCGUUGGGUGCGAGAGACCACGGGUUGGAUUCCCGUCAGAGCCC
Non-coding RNA from Nematostella vectensis (starlet sea anemone), 72 nucleotides. The record is from Rfam. Lineage: Eukaryota; Metazoa; Cnidaria; Anthozoa; Actiniaria; Edwardsiidae.